CAGUCGCCACGGUAAUACAGAGGGUGCAAGCGUUAAUCGGAAUUACUGGGCGUAAAGCGCGCGUAGGUGGUUUGUUAAGUUGGAUGUGAAAUCCCCGGGCUCAACCUCGGAACUGCAUCCAAAACUGGCAAGCUAGAGUAUGGUAGAGGGUGGUGGAAUUUCCUGUGUAGCGGUGAAAUGCGUAGAUAUAGGAAGGAACACCAGUGGCGAAGGCGACCACCUGGACUGAUACUGACACUGAGGUGCGAAAGCGUGGGGAGCAAACAGGAUUAGAUACCCCCGUAGUCCCUGUCUCUUAUAC
This 301-nucleotide ribosomal RNA is filed under the name uncultured bacterium. Its description in RNAcentral is "partial 16S ribosomal RNA". It matches the Rfam family "Bacterial small subunit ribosomal RNA", at positions 509 to 807 of the family's 1533-position model. The record is from RNAcentral.